GUGCCCUACGGGAGGCAGCAGUGGGGAAUAUUGCACAAUGGGGGAAACCCUGAUGCAGCGACGCCGCGUGAGCGAAGAAGUAUUUCGGUAUGUAAAGCUCUAUCAGCAGGGAAGAAAAUGACGGUACCUGACUAAGAAGCUCCGGCUAAAUACGUGCCAGCAGCCGCGGUAAUACGUAUGGAGCAAGCGUUAUCCGGAUUUACUGGGUGCAAAGGGAGCGCAGGCGGCUUUGCAAGUCUGAUGUGAAAGGCCGGGGCUCAACCCCGGGACUGCAUUGGAA
This 280-nucleotide ribosomal RNA is filed under the name uncultured bacterium. RNAcentral's name for it is "partial 16S ribosomal RNA". It matches the Rfam family "Bacterial small subunit ribosomal RNA", at positions 334 to 631 of the family's 1533-position model. The record is from RNAcentral.